GUCCACGCCGUAAACGAUGAGUGCUAAGUGUUAGAGGGUUUCCGCCCUUUAGUGCUGCAGCAAACGCAUUAAGCACUCCGCCUGGGGAGUACGGUCGCAAGACUGAAACUCAAAGGAAUUGACGGGGGCCCGCACAAGCGGUGGAGCAUGUGGUUUAAUUCGAAGCAACGCGAAGAACCUUACCAGGUCUUGACAUCCUCUGAUAACCCUAGAGAUAGGGCGUUCCCCUUCGGGGGACAGAGUGACAGGUGGUGCAUGGUUGUCGU
Molecule: ribosomal RNA, 266 nt
Filed under: uncultured bacterium
Lineage: Bacteria
Description: partial 16S ribosomal RNA
Rfam family: Bacterial small subunit ribosomal RNA
Source: RNAcentral